UCCAGACUCCUACGGGAGGCAGCAGUGGGGGAUAUUGCACAAUGGGGGGAACCCUGAUGCAGCGACGCCGCGUGGGUGAAGAAGCGCCUCGGCGCGUAAAGCCCUAUCGGCAGGGAAGAAACAGACGGUACCUGACUAAGAAGCCCCGGCUAACUACGUGCCAGCAGCCGCGGUAAUACGUAGGGGGCAAGCGUUAUCCGGAUUUACUGGGUGUAAAGGGGGCGCAGACGGCAGCGCAAGCCAGGAGUGAAAGCCCGGGGCCCAACCCCGGGACUGCUCUUGGAACUGCGCGGCUGGAGUGCAGGAGGGGCAGGCGGAAUUCCUGGUGUAGCGGUGAAAUGCGUAGAUAUCAGGAGGAACACCGGUGGCGAAGGCGGCCUGCUGGACUGCGACUGACGUUGAGGCCCGAAAGCGUGGGGAGCAAACAGGAUUAGAUACCCUAGUA
RNAcentral lists this ribosomal RNA (445 nucleotides) under uncultured bacterium. RNAcentral describes it as "partial 16S ribosomal RNA". It matches the Rfam family "Bacterial small subunit ribosomal RNA", at positions 330 to 792 of the family's 1533-position model. The record is from RNAcentral.